This 617-nucleotide long non-coding RNA is filed under the name Zonotrichia albicollis (white-throated sparrow). RNAcentral's name for it is "lncRNA (ENSZALG00000007458.1)". Lineage: Eukaryota; Metazoa; Chordata; Aves; Passeriformes; Passerellidae. The record is from RNAcentral.
UUGGUGGGCAUCAGGAUGGGCAUGGUGGUGUUUGGGGUGGUGGGCAAGGGGUUGGUGGUCACCAGGAUGGGGUUGGUGGUCAUCAGGAUGGGGUUGGUGGUCAAGGAGGUUGUGGGUGUAGGAAUGGUGGGCACCAGGAUGGACAUGGUGGUCUUUGGGGUGGUGGUCAAUGGGUCAGUGGCCAUGAAGAUGAGGUUGGUGGUCACCAGGAUGGUGUUGGUGGUCACCAGGAUGGACGUGGUGGUCAGUGGAGUGGUGGUCAAGGGGUUGGUGGGCAUCAGGGUGGAGUUGGUGGGCAUCAGGAUGGGAUUGGUGGUCAAGGAGGUUGUGGGUGUAGGAAUGGUGGACACCAGGAUGGACGUGGUGGUCUUUGGGGUGGUGGUGGUGGUCAUCAGGAUGGGGUUGGUGGUCAGUGGGGUGGUGGUGGACAAAGGGUUGGUGGCCUUCAAGAUGGUGGGCGAGGGGUUGGUGGUCAAGGAGGUUGUGGGUGUAGGAAUGGUGGGCACCAGGAUGGACAUGGUGGUCACUCAGGUGUCCCCAUUGGUCACUCAGAUGUCCCUGUUGGUCACUGUGGUCACUCAGAUGUCCCUGAUGGUCACUCUGGUCACUGUGGUCAC